GAACAAUGAUGAUAUUUGCACAGUUUGUGAACGAUGGGUCGUCACGCCUAAUCUGAAAUUCAGAUGAAAAAAAGUGCUUCUGAGCUC
This is a small nucleolar RNA of Lycium ferocissimum, 87 nucleotides long. RefSeq annotates it as small nucleolar RNA snoR114. Lineage: Eukaryota; Viridiplantae; Streptophyta; Magnoliopsida; Solanales; Solanaceae. The record is from RefSeq and is a predicted model, not a curated record. The transcript has a single exon.